Nicotiana attenuata is the source of this 1047-nucleotide long non-coding RNA. RefSeq lists it as uncharacterized. The record is from RefSeq and is a predicted model, not a curated record. The transcript has 3 exons. Lineage: Eukaryota; Viridiplantae; Streptophyta; Magnoliopsida; Solanales; Solanaceae.
UAAGCCCAACACCCCAAGCCCCCUAGUUCCCUAAUCCUUAGCGCUUAAGCAGACUUAUAACUUACGGGCAGUACCUGCUUACCCUUUUUCCCUUUUCUAUUUUUCUAACCCUAGGCUUCUCUAAAAAAUUGCAACAUUGCUUGGUUGGUGCUGAUUCAUGACUACAAUAGCAAAGGGCAACGGCGACUUCACGACCUCGGUGAGCGGCGACUCCUUUGCUUGUAACAGCAUUGUUCAAGCUUCUCAAGAGCUGUACUGUUCAAGCUUCGAGGACUUCCCCUCAUACAUUAUGGAGGAUGGAGGAGUCACUUGGGAAUUCGACAAACUUCCUUCGUUUGCUCCAUAAUUUUCCAUUUUCUCUUUUCAGUUAUCACGGCAAGUAGUUCACAUUGGUCUCUAUAGUUCAAAAUUCUAUAUACAGGAUAAUACAUAAUUUAUUUUCUAGCUAUACAUUUGAGGAGAAGUGACUACAUUGAUGUAGUUAAUUAAUUAUAGUUAUAUUGAAAGACUUUGGUAUGAUACAGAAAGCGUACCAAACCAAAUAAGAAAAAACCGAACCGAAUCAAACUACUUUGGUACGGUAUUUGGUAUGCACAAUUAAUAUACCGAAUACCGAAGUACCAAAUCAUAGUUAUUAAAUACCGAAGUACCGAGCGCCUACCCCUAUUUGACAUGUAGGCAUAGAGAUAUAUUUUUCUCAUGCUAGAUAGUAACUGAAACGUCUUAUUAGUUAUUGAAAGUUUGGAAAGUUUGGAAAGUUACGUUUUCCUUGAUAAGAUCAUAUUUUACUGAUUUCGGAGAAAGAUUGGGCUUUGACUGUUAUACUUAAAAAGCAUGUCUAAUUUUUCGAAAUUGUGAACGAGCUGAACAUGAUAUCUUUGAGCUAUUUACUUUUACUGUCAUUAUUAUUUUAUGUGCUUUUUAUUGAUUAUUAUUGUUGGACAUUGAUUUUCUUUCGAGUUCGUUGAUGCUUUCAACCCAAGGCUAGGUUUGUUACUUAUUGAGUACAUGGGGUCGGUUGUACUCAUACUACACUAUGCACUUUAU